ACGAACGCUGGCGGCGUGCUUAACCCCUGCAAGUCGCACGGUGAAGCGCCUUCCUUUUUGGUGGGUGUGGAUGAGUGGCGAACGGGUGAGUAACACGUGAGUAACCUGCCCCCUUCUUCUGGAUAACCGCAUGAAAGUGUGGCUAAUACGUGAUAUUCUGGGUCUGUCGCAUGAUGGGUCUGGGAAAGAUAUUGUUUCGGUGGGGGAUGGGCUCGCGGCCUUUCAGCUUGUUGGUGGGGUGAUGGCCUACCAAGGCGGUGACGGGUAGCCGGCCUGAGAGGGUGGACGGUCACACUGGGACUGAGACACGGGCCAGACUCCUACGGGAGGCAGCAGGGGGGAAUAUUGCACAAUGGGCGCAAGCCUGAUGCAGCGACGCCGCGGGAGGGAUGGAGGCCUUCGGGUUGUGAACCUCUUUCGCCAGUGAAGCAGGCCUGCCUCGUUUGUGGGUGGGUUGACGGUAGCUGGAUAAGAAGCGCCGGCUAACUACGUG
This 493-nucleotide ribosomal RNA is filed under the name uncultured bacterium. Its description in RNAcentral is "partial 16S ribosomal RNA". It matches the Rfam family "Bacterial small subunit ribosomal RNA", at positions 29 to 507 of the family's 1533-position model. The record is from RNAcentral.